Drosophila innubila is the source of this 921-nucleotide long non-coding RNA. RefSeq lists it as uncharacterized. The transcript is spliced from 3 exons. The record is from RefSeq and is a predicted model, not a curated record. NCBI's taxonomy places the organism in Eukaryota, Metazoa, Arthropoda, Insecta, Diptera, Drosophilidae.
UAUUUUAAUUAUAAGUGGAGUGCUUUCUGAUUCUAUUCAGAGUGUGGAGUUCAACGAGACAAAUGAAUUGUAUUCUACAAAUUCGCAGGUAACCGUAUUGGAAGCGGAGUUACAUGGACAGGAAAAGCUAAACAAUGAUUUAACUAAGGAAGCAUCUAUGCAUAAUUUGAGAUUUUAUGGACGCAAUUGUGCUGAGGCUACUGCAAGUGCUAAACAUAGUGGAGUGUACGAGAUACUUAUAGCUAGCUACAGUGAACACCCUUUUAAAGUGGCUUGCGAUGUGGACACUAGAGAAGGCGGUUGGACGAUCAUUCUGCGUCGUUUGGAUGGAAGUGAAAACUUUUAUCGAAACUGGAACACUUACAAAAGGGUUUCGGGAAUUUGGAGGGUGAAUUCUUCUUGGGACUCGACAAAAUACACGCACUUACAGCAGACUUUAGUCAGGAGCUGCUUGUGAUUCUCGAGGAUAAUGAUGGAAUUGAAGCAUUUGAGACUUAUGACAGAUUUGGUAUCACAGACGAGGAUGAACAAUAUGCUUUAAAUACGUUGGGAAAAGCCAGUGGCACAGCUGGUGAUUCACUAACAUAUCAUCAUACCAUGAAAUUUACCACAUUUGAUCGGAAAAAUGAUAAUUGGAAUGGGGGAAACUGUGCCGAGUACAGCAAUGGCGCCUGGUGGUACGAUAAAUGUCAACGGAGCAACUUGGCGGGCAAGUAUAAUAACUUCACACUUCAAAGAGGCGUCAAUUGGCAUACCUUUCGGGGUCUGAAUUAUUCCCUAAAAAGUGCCGUAAUGAUGAUACGGCCCAGAAAGUGAAUUCGAAGCCUCAAUAAUCAGCUUUAAGCAUUUGAAAACUUGUUAGAUUCAUUAAUCUCAAUUAAAAUAUGCAUGUUCUUAGCAGGUAAUUACUAAUAAUUAUUU